GUUCAACAAAACUUCUCUCUAUUUCUCUCCACCAUUUUACUUACCUCUACCUCUCCAAAUUUCUUUAUCUCUAUUCAGCUUUUUGUCAUUUCUCUCUCUCUCUCACGCUCUAGUUUCACACUAUUUUUCCUUGUUGGAGAGGAAUGCGUGUUAGAGAGAAUUAUAUCUAUCUUUUGUCACAUUCUUUUUCUUCUAUGUAUCGAUUUAAUUUUCAUUUAUGGUGUGUAUUAAUAGAUAUGCGUAUGCUACAAAUUUCCUCAUGUAUUUUUUCUUGCAUUAAAAGCAAGCAACAACCCAUUGGUGAUAGCACAAUGAAAAGAUAUGUUAUUUGAGGAUGAAAAUAGCAUCGAGAAUUUUUUAAGAUACAGCUCACAAAUUUUAAUUGUAUGAUUUAUUUGUUCACUUCCUAUUUUUCAACUAUAUCUUCUUAA
This 431-nucleotide long non-coding RNA is filed under the name Medicago truncatula (barrel medic). RNAcentral describes it as "lncRNA gene12194". The record is from RNAcentral. Lineage: Eukaryota; Viridiplantae; Streptophyta; Magnoliopsida; Fabales; Fabaceae.